GUGGGGAAUAUUGGACAAUGGGCGCAAGCCUGAUCCAGCCAUGCCGCGUGAGUGAUGAAGGCCUUAGGGUUGUAAAGCUCUUUCGUCAGGGAAGAUAAUGACGGAACCUGAAGAAGAAGCCCCGGCUAACUUCGUGCCAGCAGCCGCGGUAAUACGAAGGGGGCUAGCGUUGCUCGGAAUCACUGGGCGUACAGCGCACGUAGGCGGCUUUCUAAGUCAGGGGUGAAAUCCUGGAGCUCAACUCCAGAACUGCCUUUGAUACUGGAGAGCUUGAGUUCGGGAGAGGUGAGAGGAACUGCGAGUGUAGAGGUGAAAUUCGUAGAUAUUCGCAAGAACACCAGUGGCGAAGGCGACUCACUGGCCCGAUACUGACGCUGAGGUGCGAAAGCGUGGGGAGCAAACAGGAUUAGAUACCCGAGUAGUCC
RNAcentral lists this ribosomal RNA (425 nucleotides) under uncultured bacterium. RNAcentral describes it as "partial 16S ribosomal RNA". It matches the Rfam family "Bacterial small subunit ribosomal RNA", at positions 354 to 796 of the family's 1533-position model. The record is from RNAcentral.